This 254-nucleotide ribosomal RNA is filed under the name uncultured bacterium. Its description in RNAcentral is "partial 16S ribosomal RNA". It matches the Rfam family "Bacterial small subunit ribosomal RNA", at positions 524 to 776 of the family's 1533-position model. The record is from RNAcentral.
UACGGGGGGGGCGAGCGUUGUUCGGAAUCACUGGGCGUAAAGGGCGCGUAGGCGGCCCGCACAAGUCUGCGGUGAAAACCCCCGGCUUAACCGGGGGCCGGCCGUGGAAACUGUCGGGCUAGAGGCCGGGAGAGGGCAGCGGAAUUCCCGGUGUAGCGGUGAAAUGCGUAGAGAUCGGGAGGAACACCGGCGGCGAAGGCGGCUGCCUGGACCGGCCCUGACGCUGAGGCGCGAAAGCUAGGGUAGCAAACAGG